Molecule: long non-coding RNA, 4178 nt
Filed under: Homo sapiens (human)
Lineage: Eukaryota; Metazoa; Chordata; Mammalia; Primates; Hominidae
Description: non-protein coding lnc-BARHL2-4:1
Source: RNAcentral
AUUAAACGUUCUGAGAAGAAUAAAAAUAAAUGAAAAUACAAAAAUGCACUUUAAAUGGGGCUAUUCUUUUCCAAGGAGAAAAAAAGCGGGGGGUGGUGGUAUUCUUUUUCAAGCAAGCAAUCUCUUGUAAAAUUCACUUUGCAGCUUCUACCCGAAUCAUAUAGCAAGAUUUCCUCAUUCGCCAGACUGUGGAAAUAAAUCAAGGACCUUUGUCCGUGCUACUAAAUAAUGUCCGUGAUAUCACACACUCAGCAAAGAUGCCUUCUUUUUCAGCUGCUUUGCUGUCUAACUUGCUCUGUAUACUAAUGUGGUUCUGAGAUGAUUGUGUGAGAUGUUGAUAUUUGGGAAUGCUGCUGAUCAGCUUUCUGUUUUCAGAAAUCGCACCAAAGACUUGAGGUUUUAGCGGAAUUGAUAAGAGGAAAGCCACAUAAGAGCCCUUGCUUUGAUGCACGUAAUAAUAGCCAGCAAAACCCACCCUGUGCAGCCUUGAGAGCAGCCCCACUACUCUGAGGAGUACUCAGAUAUUUAGGGACUCAGGGAUAAGGAUGAAAUUCAAAAAGGAAGCUAUGCUCAGAUGCUGAGCCAUUUCUGACACUUUUGGCAUUCUUUCUUGCUUGGACUUCUACUAGUAAAUUUUUUUGUUUAGCCACCUCAUUUUGGAUGUUUGCAUACAAUCCAGUAAAGUGGCAUGGUAAUUAAAAUAUAUAGCUUAGAUGGAAACUUGGCCUGUGAUUCAUUAAAAUGUUUCGUGAAUAUUGCCAAUCUUCCCCACUUCGUUAGACUUUUCCCCUGCUUCUACUCUCUGUGUCUGGCUCAGUCUUGUCCUGGCCUCUAAAUGUGUUUAUUCUAUACAGUUUGUGUGUUUGUUCAUUUAUUAAUUCAAUAAAUAUUUAUUAAGUAUCUGCUUAUCUUAAGCACUUAUAGUCACAGAUGUUCAUACCAUUAAGCAUGCCAUCCAAGAUAAACUUGAAAAGUUUUUGGGACUUGAUACAUUGCAGAAACAUCAAACUUAUUUAAGUUCAAUGUACACUUGAAGAAUCUGCAUUAUUUUUUCCUAUCUAGAAAUUUUAUACUUUAAGACCCUGAGUUACUCUUUACAUCCAAAAGAACCAAAGUCAUGAGAUUAAAUUAAAAAAGGGUUUGGUAGAUCCAGAGAAUUAUUAGCUGUCAGUGUUAGGGAGAAUAGCAUUAACAUUUUAUGGGGUAUUUCUACUUUAUGCCUAUCACCUCAUAUACUAUAAUCUCAUUUCACCUUAAUAUAUAUAGGUAUGAAGUAUAUAUUUAUAUAUGUAAUAUAUUUAUACAAGUAAUAUAUUAAUCCCAUAAAAAGGUAUAAAAUAAAAAAUAACGUAUCUUCACUCCAUCAUCUCUCUUCCCUUUGUAUAUAUAUCCAGAAAAAAGGUUUUAUGCAUAUACCUGUAUGUUUAGAAAUACAAUGGAUAUGUGCAUAUAUGUAUAUACUUUUUAUUAUAUAUGUAUAACUUUAAUUAACACAAAUAGAGACCACUGCCUAUGUAGCUUUUAAAACAUAAAUACAUAUGGGAGCUGUUUCCUCAAAAGCACAUACAGACCAAGCUCAUUACUGUAUUUGACUGUGUGGCAUUCCGUAGUAUGAGCGUACCAGAGUAUAUUACCUGGUUCCUAUUGGUGGACAUUUAGAUUGUUUCUUGUUUUUAUAAUUAUAAGUAGUUAUAAGAAUGUAUUAAUAUCUGUGUCUUGGCAGAUAUUUUUGACUAUACAUCUCCAUAGAAAACUUUCUAACAUGAAAUGACUGGGUUAAAGUAUAUUGGUAUUUAGAAAUUUGAUAGACAUAGCUGACUUGCUAUCAAAAAAUAUUAUGUAAAUGUACACUUUUCCAUCAAUAAUAGAAGUUGAAAACAAAAUUUUAGUUUCUUUUUCCACACACUAUCGCCAAUAUUGGUUAUUUUGGCAAAAUGAUAUUUCAUUUUUUUAUGUUUCUUUAAAUUUUAGAAGUUGAGCAUAUUUUCAUGUUUACAGGACCUUUUUAUUAGUUUUCCUAAAAGCUUCCUGUUCACAGCCUUUGACUAUUUUCUAUUGCACCAUAUUUUAAAAAUGGAUUUAUAUUAGGUCUUUUAAAAUUAAGAAAUUGGCUUUUUGCAUCCACAUUGCACAUAGUUUUCUAAGUAUUUUGUCUUUUGACUUUAUGCAUUUUUAUGUACAAAAUGUUAUAUUUCUGUGUAGACAAUUUAUCAUUCUUUUAAAAUUGCAUCUAGGUUUUAUGUCCUGUUUACAAAAGCCCUUCCAAUUCCAAGAUUGUAAAUAAAUUUGCCUGGGCCUUAUUCUAGUGUUUUUAUAGGUUUAUUUUGAAAAACUUUGAUUCAUCUGGAAUUAAAACUUUUUCGUGGCAUAAGAAGCAAUAUAAUGAUCCAUCCUCUUUCCAGCCCUUCACCCUUUCUUCUUCCCUCUCUCUCUCCCUUUGUCAUUGGCUAGCUACAUGUCCUAAUUCUGGUUACUGCAUACUCCAUUCUUACCCCUGCUUUGAAAUGCCUCUUUUAUCAUGUUAGUAUCUCCAGCUCACAUAUGAGAAGCUACACUAACAAAGAUAGUGGCAGAGCCAGAAUUUGAUUCCUUGUUAAUUUAAAGCUAAGGUCUGACCUUUUCUCACUUCAGUGUUUUGGAUUGAUACUGAGGAGAGGCAUGUUUAUCAUCUUUUCAAAUUUGCUUUUUUUUUUUUUUUUUUUUUUUAGUUUUUGUGGGUACAUAGUAGGUGUAUAUAUUUAUGGGGUACAUGAGACGUCUUGAUACAGGCAUGUGGUCUGAAAUAGCACAUUAUGGGGAAUGAGGUAUCUAUCCCUUCAAGCAUUUACACUUUAAGUUACAAACAAUUCAAUUACACUCUUUAAGUUAUUUUAAAAGGGCCAUAGUGCCAUCAAGAGAGAGGAGGAAGUCAGGAGGAGGAGCAGGUCUGGGGAAAAAGGAUAGAAGGAGGACAUGAUGAGUUUGGAUCUAAACAUACGAGGUUUGGAUGACGUAGAUUUGAGUGCCAGUUAAGAUGUGCAGCUGCCCUAUAACCUAUGACGAAGAUGAGUUAAUUGCUGAGUUCUAGAGUAGCCUCAAACUUAGGCUAUUUUAUUCUCUUAUUCAACAGGGCUUUGUGCUAGUAUGGGUUCUCACAAGUUCAAACACAAAGCAUGCUGUGUCCCUGCUCGAGCAUCUCCAGGAGGGCCUGGAUUAAUAGAAAUGCAAAUGGAGCAUCUGCACAAGGCCAUAUGAUUAGAGCCUCUCCUUCCUGUGUCUGAUAUUGUCCUAUGAGAAAUCUCUGACAAAAUUCAACAACACUUCAUGCUAAAAACUCUCAAUAAAUUAGGUAUUGAUGGGACGUAUCUCAAAAUAAUAAGAGCUAUCUAUGACAAACCCACAGGCAAUAUCAUAGUGAAUGGGCAAAAACUGGAAGCAUUCCCUUUGAAAACUGGCACAAGACAGGGAUGCCCUCUCUCACCACUCCUAUUCAACAUAGUGUUGGAAGUUCUGGCCAGGGCAAUUAGGCAGGAGAAGGAAAUAAAGGGUAUUCAGUUAGGAAAAGAAGAAGUCAAAUUGUCCCUGUUUGCAAACGACAUGAUUGUAUAUCUAGAAAACCCCAUUGUCUCAGCCCAAAAUCUCCUUAAGCUGAUAAGCAACUUCAGCAAAGUCUCAGGAUACAAAAUCAAUGUACAAAAAUCACAAGCAUUCUUAUACACCAAUAACAGACAAACAGAGAGCCAAAUCAUGAGUGAACUCCCAUUCACAAUUGCUUCAAAGAGAAUAAAAUACUUAGGAAUCCAACUUACAAGGGACGUGAAGGACCUCUUCAAGGAGAACUACAAACCACUGCUCAAUGAAAUAAAAGAGGAUACAAAGAAAUGGAAGAACAUUCCAUGCUCAUGGGUAGGAAGAAUCAAUAUCGUGAAAAUGGCCAUACCGCUCAAGGUAAUUUAUAGAUUCAAUGCCAUCCCCAUCAAGCUACCAAUGACUUUCUUCACAGAAUUGGAAAAAACUACUUUAAAUUUCAUAUGGAACCAAAAAAGAGCCCGCAUUGCCAAGUCAAUCCUAAGCAAAAAGAACAAAGCUGGAGGCAUCACAUUACCUGACUUCAAACUAUACUGCAAGGCUACAGUAACCAAAACAGCAUGAUACUGGUACCAAAACAGAGAUAUAGAUCAAUGGAACAGAACGGAGCC